AAGACUACUACUACUACUACUGCUGAAGGAGAGGUGAAAACAGAGGAGGAGAAAAAAGGGUUUAUGGAGAAGCUGAAGGAGAAGCUUCCAGGACACGGAAAGAAGCCUGAAGAUGCCUCAGCCGCCGCCCCCGCCGCACCUGUUGUUGUUCCUCCGGUGGAGGAAGCGCAUCCGGCGGAGAAGAAGGGGAUUUUGGAGAAGAUUAAGGAGAAGCUUCCAGGAUACCAUCCCAAGACCGUAGAGGAGGAGAAGAAGGAAAAGGAAUCUGGUUAAGACGAAGAAAAAGCGGAUGAUCAUUAUUAAUAUGAAUAAU
This 313-nucleotide long non-coding RNA is filed under the name Eutrema salsugineum. RNAcentral describes it as "long non-coding RNA (ESAL_LNC000029)". Lineage: Eukaryota; Viridiplantae; Streptophyta; Magnoliopsida; Brassicales; Brassicaceae. The record is from RNAcentral.